This 468-nucleotide ribosomal RNA is filed under the name uncultured bacterium. RNAcentral's name for it is "partial 16S ribosomal RNA". It matches the Rfam family "Bacterial small subunit ribosomal RNA", at positions 28 to 507 of the family's 1533-position model. The record is from RNAcentral.
GACGAACGCUGGCGGCGUGCUUAACACAUGCAAGUCGAACGGAAAGGCCAUGCUUUUGUGGGGUGCUCGAGAGGCGAACGGGGGAGAGACACGCGAGUAACCUGCCCUUGACUUUGGGAGAACUUCAGGAAAAUGGGGCGAAUACCGGGUAGGAGCUACUGCUGCACAGGGGGGGUUGGAAAGUUUCGGCGGUUGGGGAUGGACUCGCUGGUUAUCCGCUUGUUGGUGGGGUAGUGGCUUCCAAAGGCUUUGACGGGUAGCCGGCCCUGGAGGGUGACCGGCCACAUUGGGACUGCGAUACGGCCCAGACUCCUACGGGAGGCAGCAGUGGGGAAUAUUGCACAAUGGGCGGACGCCUGAUGCAGCAACGCCGCGUGCGGGAUGACGGCCUUCGGGUUGUAAACCGCUUUCGCCUGUGACGAAGCGGUAGUGACGGUAAUGGGUAAAGAAGCACCGGCUAACUACGUG